CCUACGGGUGGCAGCAGUGAGGAAUCUUGGUCAAUGGACGAGAGUCUGAACCAGCCAAGUCGCGUGAAGGAUGACUGCCCUAUGGGUUGUACACUUUUUUUAUAAAGGAAUAAAACGAGGCACGUCUGCCUUCUUGCAUUUACUUUAUGUAUAAGGAUCGGCUAACUCCGGUCCAGCCGCCGCGGUAAUACGGAGGGUCCGAGCGUUACCCUGAUUGAGGGGGUUUAACGGGAGCGUAGAUGGGUUGUUAAGUCAGUUGUGAAAGUUUGCGGCUCAACCGUAAAGUUGCACGUGAUACUGGCAGUCUUGAGUACAGAUGAGGUAGGCGGAAUUUGUGGUGUAGCGGUGAAAUGCUUAGAUAUAACGAAGAACCCCGAUUGCGAAGGCAGCUUACUAAACUGUGACUGACAUUGAUGCUCGAAAGUGUGGGUAUCAAACAGGAUUAGAUACCCUAGUAGUC
This 460-nucleotide ribosomal RNA is filed under the name uncultured bacterium. Its description in RNAcentral is "partial 16S ribosomal RNA". It matches the Rfam family "Bacterial small subunit ribosomal RNA", at positions 338 to 795 of the family's 1533-position model. The record is from RNAcentral.